AAGGGAGAGUAAUACGUGGGAAUCUGCCCUUAGACCUGGGAUAGCGGCGGGAAACUGCCGGUAAUACCAGAUAAUGUCUUCGGACCAAAGGUGUGAUUCCGUCUAGGGAUGAGCCCACGUCCUAUUAGCUAGUUGGCAGGGUAAUGGCCUACCAAGGCGAUGAUGGGUAGCGGGUGUGAGAGCACGACCCGCCUCACUGGGACUGAGACACUGCCCAGACACCUACGGGUGGCUGCAGUCGAGAAUCUUCGGCAAUGAGCGCAAGCUUGACCGAGCGACGCCGCGUGCGGGAUGAAGGCCUUCGGGUUGUAAACCGCUGUCGAGGGGGAGCAAAUUCCUAGGGGUUCUCCCCUAGGAUUGAGUGAUCCCUGGAGGAAGGACGGGCUAAGUUCGUGCCAGCAGCCGCGGUAAGACGAACCGUCCAAACGUUAUUCGGUAUCACUGGGCUUAAAGAGUUCGUAGGCGGCCCUGCAGGUGAGGUGUGAAAUCCCUCGGCUUAACCGAGGAAUUGCGCUUCAAACCGCAUGGCUUGAGGGAGACAGAGGUGGGCGGAACUGAUGGUGGAGCGGUGAAAUGCGUUGA
This 582-nucleotide ribosomal RNA is filed under the name uncultured bacterium. Its description in RNAcentral is "bacterial SSU rRNA". It matches the Rfam family "Bacterial small subunit ribosomal RNA", at positions 102 to 694 of the family's 1533-position model. The record is from RNAcentral.